This 253-nucleotide ribosomal RNA is filed under the name uncultured bacterium. RNAcentral describes it as "partial 16S ribosomal RNA". It matches the Rfam family "Bacterial small subunit ribosomal RNA", at positions 524 to 776 of the family's 1533-position model. The record is from RNAcentral.
UACGUAGGGUGCAAGCGUUGUCCGGAAUUAUUGGGCGUAAAGGGCUCGUAGGCGGUUUGUCGCGUCGGGAGUAAAAUCCACUGGCUUAACUGGUGGCUUGCUUUCGAUACGGGCAGACUGGAGGUAUGCAGGGGAGAACGGAAUUCCUGGUGUAGCGGUGAAAUGCGCAGAUAUCAGGAGGAACACCGGUGGCGAAGGCGGUUCUCUGGGCAUGUCCUGACGCUGAGGAGCGAAAGUGUGGGGAGCGAACAGG